This 253-nucleotide ribosomal RNA is filed under the name uncultured bacterium. Its description in RNAcentral is "partial 16S ribosomal RNA". It matches the Rfam family "Bacterial small subunit ribosomal RNA", at positions 524 to 776 of the family's 1533-position model. The record is from RNAcentral.
GACGUAGGGCGCGAGCGUUGUCCGGAUUUAUUGGGCGUAAAGAGCUCGUAGGCGGCUUGUCGCGUCGUCCGUGAAAACCUGGGGCUCAACCCCAGGCUUGCGGUCGAUACGGGCAGGCUCGAGUUCGGUAGGGGAGACUGGAAUUCCUGGUGUAGCGGUGAAAUGCGCAGAUAUCAGGAGGAGCACCGGUGGCGAAGGCGGGUCUCUGGGCCGAUACUGACGCUGAGGAGCGAAAGCGUGGGGAGCGAACAGG